CGUAGUUUCAUUAUAAUCUAUAAGAGUUUUGCACAUGGUUAUAAUUUACAUUCACUCAGGCUGAAGUACAAACGCCUUCUGACUCACUAUAUUAGAGCACUACACAGGAAGUCGCGCGCUCACGUGGCUUGGGGCGUUUACGUCAUGACGCACGGCCGUCGCGCGCGCUCUCAUGCACAGACAGGUGCCUCAGGAUCCUCACAGGGUCUGCCUCUUCUCACCGAAGAUCCGAGAUCCGAAAAAAAUUGUUGAGUUUAUCCCAGGAAAACUGGAUGAGAUUUCAGACCAUUGAAAGACAUCAUGCCUCAAUCAUUCAUUCACACAUCUAUACACUCAUCCAUAUACACAUCCAUACACUCAUCCAUACGUUCAAAAUUCAUACACUCACCUAUACACUCAUCUAUUGACUUA
Tachysurus vachellii is the source of this 411-nucleotide long non-coding RNA. RefSeq lists it as uncharacterized. The transcript has 4 exons. The record is from RefSeq and is a predicted model, not a curated record. Lineage: Eukaryota; Metazoa; Chordata; Actinopteri; Siluriformes; Bagridae.